AGAUACCCAGACUCAGAUGAAUUGGACCGCUUUAUAGCUAACAUAAUGGCAAUAAUGCUACAGACGCUCAUUUUCGGCUAAUUCGUGAAGGGAUGAGCAAUAUCGUAUGUCCUGUAUUGAUUUGAUGCUGAUGAGGGUUGGUUACAUUUUCCUGCUUUGGGGACAGACUAGAACAUAUCCAAAAUAAUGUAUAGGUAAACGUUCCGACAAUAUCAACAGCCGUUUCACAAUACAUAUAUAGGGCAUUCUUGCAA
Long non-coding RNA from Drosophila navojoa, 254 nucleotides. The record is from RefSeq and is a predicted model, not a curated record. NCBI's taxonomy places the organism in Eukaryota, Metazoa, Arthropoda, Insecta, Diptera, Drosophilidae.